Molecule: ribosomal RNA, 657 nt
Filed under: Aleurina sp.
Lineage: Eukaryota; Fungi; Ascomycota; Pezizomycetes; Pezizales; Pyronemataceae
Description: partial large subunit ribosomal RNA
Rfam family: Eukaryotic large subunit ribosomal RNA
Source: RNAcentral
GGGAUUGCCUCAGUAACUGCGAGUGAAGCGGCAAAAGCUCAAAUUUGGAAUCUGGCGUCGUUCGACGUCCGAGUUGUAAUUUGGAGGGGCAUCUUCGGGGCCGACGCCGUCCCAAGUUCCUUGGAACAGGACGCCACAGAGGGUGAGAAUCCCGUGUAUGGACGGCCGAAUCGGUCCCACGUGAAGUGCCUCCGACGAGUCGAGUUGUUUGGGAAUGCAGCUCAAAAUUGGUGGUAAAUUUCAUCUAAAGCUAAAUAUUGGCGAGAGACCGAUAGCGCACAAGUAGAGUGAUCGAAAGAUGAAAAGCACUUUGAAAAGAGAGUUAAAAAGUACGUGAAAUUGUUGAAAGGGAAGCGUUUGAGGCCAGACUCGACCGGUGGCGAUCAGCUGUGCUUCUGCACUGUGCAAUGGCCUCCGGUCGGGCCAGCAUCGGUUCCGGCGGCGGGAUAAAAGGCGUAGGGAAUGUACCUGUCGACUCACCGCACAGGGUUAUAGUCCACGCCACAAUGCCGUCUGCGGGGACCGAGGACCGCGCCCUAUGGGCAAGGAUGCUGGCGUAAUGGCCUUAAGCGACCCGUCUUGAAACACGGACCAAGGAGUCUAACAUCCAUGCGAGUGUUCGGGUGGAAAACCCUUGCGCGAAAUGAAAGUGAAUGC